This 401-nucleotide ribosomal RNA is filed under the name Wolbachia endosymbiont of Tamarixia dryi. RNAcentral's name for it is "bacterial SSU rRNA". It matches the Rfam family "Bacterial small subunit ribosomal RNA", at positions 1009 to 1411 of the family's 1533-position model. The record is from RNAcentral. Lineage: Bacteria; Pseudomonadati; Pseudomonadota; Alphaproteobacteria; Rickettsiales; Anaplasmataceae.
GGUCGGUUCGGCGCGGAUUUUACACAGGUGUUGCAUGGCUGUCGUCAGCUCGUGUCGUGAGAUGUUGGGUUAAGUCCCGCAACGAGCGCAACCCUCAUCCUUAGUUGCCAUCAGGUAAUGCUGAGCACUUUAAGGAAACUGCCAGUGAUAAGCUGGAGGAAGAUGGGGAUGAUGUCAAGUCAUCAUGGCCUUUAUGAAGUGGGCUACACACGUGCUACAAUGGUGUCUACAGUGGGCUGCAAGGUGCGCAAGCCUAAGCUAAUCCCUAAAAGACAUCUCAGUUCGGAUUGUACUCUGCAACUCGAGUGCAUGAAGUUGGAAUCGCUAGUAAUCGUGGAUCAGCAUGCCACGGUGAAUACGUUCUCGGGUCUUGUACACACUGCCCGUCCCCCACGCCAUGG